Non-coding RNA from Pyrinomonas methylaliphatogenes, 100 nucleotides. It matches the Rfam family "Bacterial small signal recognition particle RNA". Rfam says of the family: The signal recognition particle (SRP) is a universally conserved ribonucleoprotein involved in the co-translational targeting of proteins to membranes. Archaeal SRP consists of a 7S RNA and homologues of the eukaryotic SRP19 and SRP54 proteins. The record is from Rfam. NCBI's taxonomy places the organism in Bacteria, Pseudomonadati, Acidobacteriota, Blastocatellia, Blastocatellales, Pyrinomonadaceae.
CCCCGGGCUCCGCACAACGUGGCGUCGGUGAACCCCGCCAGGCCGGGAACGGAGCAACGGUAGCCGCGCGCCGCGUGUGUUGCGGGUCGGUCCGGGGCCU